Molecule: ribosomal RNA, 539 nt
Filed under: uncultured bacterium
Lineage: Bacteria
Description: bacterial SSU rRNA
Rfam family: Bacterial small subunit ribosomal RNA
Source: RNAcentral
AGUCGAUGGGCGAGCCUGACGGAGCAUACCGCGUGAGGGAAGACUGCCUAUGGGUUGUAAACCUCUUUUUUCAGGGAGGAAUAAAAUGACGUGUACCUGAAGAAUAAGCAUCGGCUAACUCCGUGCCAGCAGCCGCGGUAAGACGGAGGAUGCAAGUGUUAUCCGGAAUCACUGGGCGUAAAGCGUCUGUAGGUGGUUUAAUAAGUCAACUGUUAAAUCUUGAGGCUCAACUUCAAAACCGCAGUCGAAACUAUUAGACUAGAGUAUAGUAGAGGUAAAGGGAAUUUCCAGUGGAGCGGUGAAAUGCGUAGAGAUUGGAAAGAACACCGAUGGCGAAAGCACUUUACUGGGCUAUUACUAACACUCAGAGACGAAAGCUAGGGUAGCAAAUGGGAUUAGAUACCCCAGUAGUCCUAGCCGUAAACAAUGGAUACUAGAUGUUGAACAGAUCGACCUGUGCAGUAUCAAAGCUAACGCGUUAAGUAUCCCGCCUGGGAAGUAUGCUCGCAAGAGUGAAACUCAAAGGAAAUUGACGGAUU